Oreochromis aureus is the source of this 391-nucleotide long non-coding RNA. Lineage: Eukaryota; Metazoa; Chordata; Actinopteri; Cichliformes; Cichlidae. The record is from Ensembl.
AGAAAUAAGAAAAACGAAAAUACAAAUAGGAAAAAACACAACGGAAGUGUUUCUGGGGAGACAAUAACCCAACGAACCAGUUGCAGGAAGCAAAAUAAGCUCCGGACCCCACGUGACUACCAGUUGUCAGGUGACCAUUUUGGCAGCAACAUGAACAACAACGCCACUCAUCCCAGAUCUAUGCUAUCCGGACAUACAUAACUACCUUAUAAACUUCCCAUCGUACUACUCGGGGGACUCGGGCUACAAAUGGACUCAAUCUGGCUUUGUAACAAACAUUCAGCUGUGGAAUCUUCAAGCAAAAAAAAUUCUGGAUCAUCACUGGAAAGGUUCAACAUUCCCAGAGGCUUAAUGAACUGCAGUUAAAGCCAUAGGUAGUAGUGAGAAAAGA